CACGGGGGUUGCGAGCGUUAUCCGGAUUUAUUGGGUUUAAAGGGUGCGUAGGCGGCUUUUUUAAGUCAGCGGUGAAAUUUUGCAGCUUAACUGUAACAGUGCCGUUGAUACUGGGGAGCUAGGAUUUGGUUGCUGUGGGUGGAAUGUGUGGUGUAGCGGUGAAAUGCUUAGAGAUCACACAGAAUAUCGAUUGCGAAGGCAGCUCACAAAGCCAAGAUUGACGCUGAGGCACGAAAGUGUGGGGAUCAAACAGGAUUAGAUACCCCU
Molecule: ribosomal RNA, 267 nt
Filed under: uncultured prokaryote
Description: partial 16S ribosomal RNA
Rfam family: Bacterial small subunit ribosomal RNA
Source: RNAcentral